Molecule: transfer RNA, 62 nt
Filed under: Aphthona lutescens
Lineage: Eukaryota; Metazoa; Arthropoda; Insecta; Coleoptera; Chrysomelidae
Description: tRNA-Pro
Source: RNAcentral
CAGAUAUUAGUUUAUUAAAAUUUUAAUUUUGGAGAUUGAAGAUAAGAAGUUCUUAUAUCUGA